Molecule: ribosomal RNA, 383 nt
Filed under: uncultured bacterium
Lineage: Bacteria
Description: bacterial SSU rRNA
Rfam family: Bacterial small subunit ribosomal RNA
Source: RNAcentral
GACGAACGCUGGCGGCGUGCUUAACACAUGCAAGUCGAACGGAAAGGCCCUGCUUUUGUGGGGUGCUCGAGUGGCGAACGGUGAGUAACACGUGAGUAACCUGCCCUUGACUUUGGGAUAACUUCAGGAACUGGGGCUAAUACCGGAUAGGAGCUCCUGCUGCAUGGUGGGGUUGGAAAGUUUCGGCGGUUGGGGAUGGACUCGCGGCUUAUCAGCUUGUUGGUGGGGUAGUGGCUUACCAAGGCUUUGACGGGUAGCCGGCCUGAGAGGGUGACCGGCCACAUUGGGACUGAGAUACGGCCAGACUCCUACGGGAGGCAGCAGUGGGAAUAUUGCACAAUGGGCGGAAGCCUGAUGCAGCAACGCCGCGUGCGGGAUGACGG